CAAGUUGGCGGCGUUGCCUAAUACAUGCAAGUCGAGCGGACAGAUGGGAGCUUGCUCCCUGAUGUUAGCGGCGGACGGGUGAGUAACACGUGGGUAACCUGCCUGUAAGACUGGGAUAACUCCGGGAAACCGGGGCUAAUACCGGAUGGUUGUUUGAACCGCAUGGUUCAAACAUAAAAGGUGGCUUCGGCUACCACUUACAGAUGGACCCGCGGCGCAUUAGCUAGUUGGUGAGGUAACGGCUCACCAAGGCAACGAUGCGUAGCCGACCUGAGAGGGUGAUCGGCCACACUGGGACUGAGACACGGCCCAGACUCCUACGGGAGGCAGCAGUAGGGAAUCUUCCGCAAUGGACGAAAGUCUGACGGAGCAACGCCGCGUGAGUGAUGAAGGUUUUCGGAUCGUAAAGCUCUGUUGUUAGGGAAGAACAAGUACCGUUCGAAUAGGGCGGUACCUUGACGGUACCUAACCAGAAAGCCACGGCUAACUACGUGCCAGCAGCCGCGGUAAUACGUAGGUGGCAAGCGUUGUCCGGAAUUAUUGGGCGUAAAGGGCUCGCAGGCGGUUUCUUAAGUCUGAUGUGAAAGCCCCCGGCUCAACCGGGGAGGGUCAUUGGAAACUGGGGAACUUGAGUGCAGAAGAGGAGAGUGGAAUUCCACGUGUAGCGGUGAAAUGCGUAGAGAUGUGGAGGAACACCAGUGGCGAAGGCGACUCUCUGGUCUGUAACUGACGCUGAGGAGCGAAAGCGUGGGGAGCGAACAGGAUUAGAUACCCUGGUAGUCCACGCCGUAAACGAUGAG
Molecule: ribosomal RNA, 800 nt
Filed under: Bacillus tequilensis
Lineage: Bacteria; Bacillati; Bacillota; Bacilli; Caryophanales; Bacillaceae
Description: bacterial SSU rRNA
Rfam family: Bacterial small subunit ribosomal RNA
Source: RNAcentral